GUAGGUGGCAAGCGUUGUCCGGAAUUAUUGGGCGUAAAGCGCGCGCAGGCGGUUCUUUAAGUCUGAUGUGAAAGCCCACGGCUCAACCGUGGAGGGUCAUUGGAAACUGGAGAACUUGAGUACAGAAGAGGAAAGCGGAAUUCCACGUGUAGCGGUGAAAUGCGUAGAGAUGUGGAGGAACACCAGUGGCGAAGGCGGCUUUCUGGUCUGUAACUGACGCUGAGGCGCGAAAGCGUGGGGAGCAAACAGGGAUUAGAUACCCUGGUAGUCCACGCCGUAAACGAUGAGUGCUAAGUGUUAGGGGGUUUCCGCCCCCUUAGUGCUGCAGCUAACGCAUUAAGCACUCCGCCUGGGGAGUACAGCCGCAAGGCUG
RNAcentral lists this ribosomal RNA (373 nucleotides) under uncultured organism. RNAcentral's name for it is "partial 16S ribosomal RNA". It matches the Rfam family "Bacterial small subunit ribosomal RNA", at positions 527 to 896 of the family's 1533-position model. The record is from RNAcentral.